Molecule: ribosomal RNA, 465 nt
Filed under: uncultured bacterium
Lineage: Bacteria
Description: partial 16S ribosomal RNA
Rfam family: Bacterial small subunit ribosomal RNA
Source: RNAcentral
CCUACGGGAGGCAGCAGUGGGGAAUAUUGCGCAAUGGGCGAAAGCCUGAAGCAGCGACGCCGCGUGAGGGAUGAAGGUCUUCGGAUCGUAAACCUCUGUCAGUAGGGAAGAACGGUCACUGUGCUAAUCAGUAGUGAAUUGACGGUACCUGCAAAGGAAGCACCGGCUAACUCCGUGCCAGCAGCCGCGGUAAUACGGAGGGUGCGAGCGUUAAUCGGAAUUACUGGGCGUAAAGCGCUCGUAGGUGGUAUGUCAAGUCAAGUGUGAAAGCCCCGCGCUCAACGGGAGAACUGCCUUUGAAACUGGCAAACUUGAGUGUGUGAGAGGAUAGUGGAAUUCCAGGUGUAGGGGUGAAAUCCGUAGAUAUCUGGAAGAACAUCAGUGGCGAAGGCAGCUAUCUGGCACGUAACUGACGCUGAGGAGCGAAAGCGUGGGUAGCAAACAGGAUUAGAUACCCUAGUAGUC